CGACUCCACGAAGCUGGAUUCGCUAGUAAUCGCGCAUCAGCCACGGCGCGGUGAAUACGUUCCCGGGCCUUGUACACACCGCCCGUCAAGCCAUGGGAGCCGGGGGUACCUGAAGUGCGCUGCCGCAAGGAGCGUCCUAGGGUAAAACCGGUGACUGGGGCUAAGUCGUAACAAGGUACC
Molecule: ribosomal RNA, 180 nt
Filed under: uncultured bacterium
Lineage: Bacteria
Description: partial 16S ribosomal RNA
Rfam family: Bacterial small subunit ribosomal RNA
Source: RNAcentral